AGGGCGGGUCCGCGGCCGCCAGGUGAGCCCGCCCCGGUAGCCCCGCGCGUGGUCCGGUCGGCAGAGGCUUGGCGAGCCGCCAUCCCGCCCCUGCCCCAGGCCCACCUUCCCCCACCGCCCAGGCCCCGCUGGCCUCCCCGGCUCAUCUCGCACCCGGCGCAGACCCCAUGCCCUCCCGUCUCGGCAGCGCCCCCCGCUUCGCCUCCCGGUCCGGCCCCAGCUCGACGGGCGGAACCGGGUGCGCACAGCAGCCCCGCGCCCUGGCCCAGGGCCAGCGGGUUAACGCUUAACUACGCUCCAGGAGCUGUAGGCUCCAGCCGCGCCUCGAGUCCCCAACCUUUGGCCCCGGAAGCCAAAAAGAGGAGCGGACGGUGAAGGAGUCAGGGAUAAUGUGAGUUGAUGCUGGCUGAGAUCUGCUCCGAUGAGGGUUUGAAAGAGAGAGCUCCGGGUGUCAAAGUCAGUGGAUGGCAAAACAUGCCUGGAGGGAGCAACCAGGCAUCCAACCACAGGCCCUGGGCUGGAGGGCGGGGGGGGGGGGGGGUGGAAGCAGAGGAAGGAGAGAGAAGGAAAUUUGGGAGGAAGAGUGGGCACGAACUGGCUGCCCAAUUGUGUGGGUGGGUAGGUGGCAGGGAGGGACUGGUUGUUCUGGGUCUGCCCCUCCGGCCCCACCACACCUGCUUCCAGGUGAGCUUAGGAAUUUCCCAGGCUUCCUCCCAGCUGGAGCCAGACGUGUCCCUCAGAGGCCCCAGCCCUGCCCAUCCUUUCCUGCCCUACCCAGGGCUUCUCUACCUUCUUGGCUUGGCCUGCUCCUUGUUCACACCUUGGUAAAUGACCCUUCACAAAAGUCAUUUUCUCUAUUUGUGCUUUUCUUUCUUUUGCCAGGACGCUUGACUUUCUCGACAGGGAGGGGGAGGCAAGCCUGGUGCCCAGUGCUCUGCCUGCACUGGUCAGUGCGCGUGGCUGUCACUUGGCUGGGAAGCUAGGCCAGGAGAGCAGCUGCAGCUGUGGAGGUCGGCAGUUGAGAGGUGGAGAGACCUGAGCACACUUGGGCCAGUCGUCCCGUGGCAUUUGGGAGCCCAGGACCGAGCCGGGGGGCAAGUGUGGGCAAUGCUUGGAGCCACAGAGUGGGGGUAGGGAAUUGGAGGGGUAGAGAGGACAACUCAAACCAAGCCAGGAACCCACAGAGGAGACCAGGAAAGGAAAACCAAGAAGGAGUGAGUCCCCAAUGCCCCCAAAUUGAUCCAUAUAUUGAAUGAUCCCCAGUAAAAGUAGCUCCAUGAUGAUUCCAAAGCCCUUAGGAAACUAAAGGUGCCAGGAGAAUGAAUAGACACGUCUCCAUAGAAGACACACACUGGUCAACAAGUACAUGGGAAAUGUCCAGCAUCCUCCAGGAAAUGCAAAGCAAAACCACAGUGAGAUCCCACCUCCCACCCGCUGGGACUGGGCAGAUGCAGUCCUGGCAAACCAGUCUUGGUGAGGAGCGGGGGUAUCAGAGCCCUGCUGCACUGAGAUACACACACACAAAAUGGAAUAGUAUUCAGUCUUAAAAAGGAAAGAAAUUCCAGUACUGGCUGCAACUUGGAUGGACCCUGAGGAUCCUAUGCUGAGUUAAAUAAGCCAGUCACAGAAGAACACGUACCAUACAAUCCCACUUAUGUGAGGUCCCUAGAGUAGUCACUUUCAUAGAGAUAGUAGCUGACAGGAGGAGCAUGGGGAGUGACUGUUUAAUGAAUACAGACUUGAAAUUUGGGAAGAGGUAAAAGUUCUGGAGAUGGAUGGUGGUGAUGGGUGGUGAUGAUGGACAUUGGAGAUGGGCAAUGGACAUGGAUGGUGGUGAUGGAUGGUAUAAAUGGAUAUUGGAUGUGGACAGCGGACGUGGACAGUGGAGAUAGAGGGUGGUGAUGGCUGGUGGACAUGGACAGUGAAGAUAGAGAGUAGUGAUGGAUGGUGGAGAUAGAGGGCGGUGAUGGACAGUGGAGAUAGAGGGUGGUGAUGGACAGUGGAGAUAGAGAGUGGUGAUGGACAGUGGAGAUAGAAGGUGGUGAUGGACAGUGGAGAUAGAAGGUGGUGAUGGACAGUGGACAUGGACGCUGGAGAUAGAGGGUGGUGAUGGACAGUGGAGAUAGAGGGUGGUGAUGGAUGGUGGACAUGGACAGUGGAGAUAGAGGGUGGUGAUGGAUGGUGGACAUGGAUAGUGGAGUUGAAGGGUGGAGAUGGAGGGUGGUGAUGGAUGGCGGUGAUGGAGGGUGGAGAUGGAGGGUGGUGAUGGAGGGUGGAGGGUAGUGAUGGACAGUGGAGAUGGAGGGUGGAGAUGGUGGGUGGUGAAGGAGGUUGGUGAUGGAGGGUGGUGAUGGGGGGUGGAGAUGGAGGGUGGUGAUGGAUGGUGGAGAUGGAGGGUAAAAAUAGUUGGUGGUGAUGGAGGAUGGAGAUGGAGGGUGGAUGGAGGGUGGAGAUAGAUGGUGGUGAUAGAGGGUGGUGAUGGAGGGUGGAGAUGGUGGGUGAUGAUGGAGGGUGGUGAUGGAUGGUGGAGAUAAAUGGUGGUGAUGAAGGGUGGAGAUGGAGGGUGGAGAUGCAGGGUGGAAAUGGAGGGUGGUGAUGGACAGUAGAGAUGAAUGGUUGUGAUGGAUGGUGGAGAUGGAGGGUGGAAAUGGUGGGUGGUGAUGGAGGAUGGAGAUGGAGGGUGGAUGGAGGGUGGAGAUGGUGAGUGGUGAUAGAGGGUGGAGAUAAAUGGUGGUAAUGGACAGUGGAGAUGGACAGCGGAAAUGGAGGGUGGAGAUGCAGGGUGGAAAUGGAGGGUGGUGAUGGACAGCGGAGAUGAAUGGUAGUGAUGGAUGGUGGAGAUGGAGCAUGGAAAUGGUGGGUGGUGAUGGAGGAUGGAGAUGGAGGGUGGUGAUGGAGAGUGGUGAUGGAUGGUGGAGAUGAAUGGUGGUGAUGGACGAUGGAGAUGGAGGAUGGAGAUGGAGGGUGGAUGAAGGGUGGAGAUGGAAGAUAGUGAUGGAGGGUGGUGAUGGAUGGUGGUGAUGGAGGAUGGAGAUGGAGGGUGGAUGGAGGGUGGAGAUGGUGAGUGGUGAUGGAGGGUGGAGAUAAAUGGUGGUAAUGGACAGUGGAGAUGGACAGUCGAAAUGGAGAGUGGUGAUGGAUGGUAGUGAUGGAUGGUGGAGAUGGACAGCGGAGAUGAAUGGUGGUGAUGGAUGGUGGAGAUGGAGCGUGGAAAUGGUGGGUGGUGAUGGAGGAUGGAGAUGGAGGGUGGAGAUGGAGGGUGGUGAUGGAGGGUGGAGAUGAAUGGUGGUGAUGGAUGGUGGAGAUGGAGGAUGGAGAUGGAGGGUGGAUGAAGGGUGGAGAUGGAAGGUGGUGAUGGAGGGUGGUGAUGGAUGGUGGAGAUGAAUGGUGGCGAUGGACGGUGGAGAUGGAGGAUGGAGAUGGAAGGUGGUGAUGGAGGGUGGAGAUGCAGGGUGGAAAUGGAGGGUGGUGAUGGAUAGCAGAGAUGAAUGGUUGUGAUGGAUGGUGGAGAUGGAGGGUGGAAAUGGUGGGUGGUGAUGGAGGAUGGAGAUGGAGGGUGGAUGAAGGGUGGAGAUGAAUGGUGGUGAUGGACGGUGGAGAUGGAGGGUGGACGAAGGGUGGAGAUGGAAGGUGGUGAUGGAGGGUGGAGAUGGAGGGUGGUGAUGGAGGGUGGAGAUGCAGGGUGGUGAUGGAGGGUGGCGAUGGAGGUUGGUGAUGGAGGGUGGCGAUGGAGGGUGGUGAUGGAGGGUGGAGAUGGAGGGUGGUGAUGGAGGGUGGAGAUGCAGGGUGGAAAUGGAGGGUGGAGAUGCAGGGUGGAAAUGGAGGGUGGUGAUGGACAGCAGAGAUGAAUGGUUGUGAUGGAUGGUGGAGAUGGAGGGUGGAAAUGGUGGGUGAUGGAGGGUGGAGAUGGUGAGUGGUGAUAGAAGGUGGAGAUGAAUGGUGGCGAUGGACGGUGGAAAUGGAAGAUGGAGAUGGAGGGUGGAUGGAGGGUGGAGAUGGUGAGUGGUGAUACAGGGUGGAGAUAAAUGGUGGUAAUGGACAUAGAGAUGGACGGUGGAAAUGGAGGAUGGUGAUGGUUGUACAACAAUGUGAAUGCACUUGAUGUCACUCAACUGUUCACUUAAAAAUGGCAAACAUAGUAGUUUUUAUGUUACAUAUAUUUUACUACAAUAAAAAAAGAAUGAAAAGCCUAUAAAAUUCUGAAAAAUAAAAAAGGGGGCUUUAGCCCUGCCAGAGAGUAGAAUCCAUCAUAGAACAUCUUGCUAUGGGCAGUUGACUGGACACACACAUCAGAGCAGGUCUGUGUGAUCAUUUAGCAUAUGAUUAAUGGGGCAUUUAAAAUCCACGAGGGGCCGGGCGCAGUGGCUCACGCCCGUAAUCCCAGCACUUUGGGAGGCCGAGGCGGGUGGAUCACCUGAGGUCAGCAGUUCGAGACCAGCCUAACUAACAUGGGGAAACCCUGUCUCUACUAAAAAUACAAAAAAUAGCUGGGCAUGGUGGUGGGUGGCUGUAAUCCCAGCUACUGAGGUGGCUGAGGUGGGAGAAUCACUUGAACCUGGAAGCGGAGGUUGCAGUGAGCCAAGAUCGUGCCACUUCUCUCCAGCCUGAGCAACAAAGCGAGACUCUGUCUCAAAAAAUAAAUUAAUUAAUAAAUAAAUAAAUCCAUGAGGGAAAGGAUGUCAUUUAAAAAAGGGUGUGGCCAGGCACGGUGGCUCAUGCCUAUAACCAGCACUUUGGAGGCCGAGGCAGGUGGAUCACCUGAGGUCAGGAGUUUGAGACUGGCCUGGCCAGCAUGGUGAAACUCUGUCUCUACUAAAAAAAAAGGACAAAAUUAGCUGGAUGUGGUGGCGCAUGCCUGUAAUCCCAGCUACUUGGGAGGCUGAGGCAGGAGAAUCGCUUGAACCUGGGAGGCAGAGAUUGCAGUGAGCCUAGAUUACGCCAUUGUACUUCAGUCUGGGCAACGAGCGAAACUCCAUCUCAAAAAAAAUAAAAAUAAUAAUAAAAUAAUAAUAAAGGGUGGUGGAGCAACUGGGCGGCCUUGGUGUCUGGAAAAACAUGACGUUGGAUCCUGAUCCCACUCUUCACACGGAAAUAAAUUCCUUAUGGAGCGGAAAUAGAAAUGCAAAAACCCAAAACCACAAACAUAAUUUGGAAAAAACACAGGAGACUAUUUAAUGAUCUCAGGAUCCGGAAGGCUUUUCUGAGCACAACAAAAAAGCAGAAGCCACAGGGAACAUUGUUGAAAAAUUUAAUUAAAUUACAAAUGGCAACAUUUUGCCUAGACCACAUAUUUAAAAUCAAAGGAUGUGCAACAAACUGGGGAGAACCCAUGAUAACUCAGUGGUUAACAAAGGGCCGAUUCUCCCAACAAAGGGCUACUAUCAGUCAACGAGGAAAGGGCCAGGCCGCCGGACACGCUGCACAAAGGAAGCCCCAAUGGCUGCUGACUGCAAGAUGCUGAACCUCCGCCGUAAUCAGGGAUGAGCAAAUUGGCCCUACCGGAAGAUGGUAUUUUCACCUGUCAGACGUUUUCAUGAGAGACUGGGAUGGGAGGAGCGGGGAGACAGGCACUUCCCACAACUCCCAGCAGGAGUGUGAAUUUGGGGUGUCGGGGGAGGGGAUUUUGUUUCCACUAUAGCCUGGUACUGCUAGAAGGUUUUAAAUGAGGACACUAGCUGUACUAACAAUUACAAAAUUCGCAGUACUGUGUAGGGGAGAGAGGGUCGGGGGGGAGGGCAUGGGGCCCCCUACGCAAUGUGGUGGCGCCAAGGGAAUGCCUAGCGGGUCCCUUGGGCUUAAGGACAAGGAUGCCAAGGUUUUGGGGCCUGGCAGGCCGGAGUGGGUGCCUGGAGCUAGAGGUAGAAGGUGUAGGUGCCCCCUUCUGGGAACAAGGGGGUGAGAGGAGGGAGGGAAAAAGGGGUGCAGGGCGGGUCAGAGGGCUCCCUCCCCCCAACAGCUGACCCCCCAGCCCCAGCGCCCUGCUUUGCAGCCACGGCAUUCAGCAGCCUCCACCUGGGGCUGAGAUUGUGACCACCCUCAGGGACACGGGUUCAGGUCUGCUGUCUGCUGAACCUACGUUCUGCAGGAUUUGGUCCAGGGCUCUGGUGAAGAUGUAGGAGUUGGCCUGCGUCAGCGCCCGUCCCCGCUUUCCACAGCGAGCAAAGACCGUGGGAACCCUGAUGCCCCUUUGCAUUUGCGCUUCUGUACUUAGCUGCUAGUCUCAGGCAGUGAAAGCUUCAAGCCACCCGCAGAGCCCUGGAACUGGGGCAUUGGCUCUAGUGGGAAAAGGAGGCUUCCCACUGGCGACCCACCAUGACAGACCACAAAAGACAUGCAGGUCCCCACAGUCAGGCCCUGACACCCACUCUUCCUGCCUUCUUCUGCCUAGGCUUGCACAGCUGGGCAAGUGAGCGGGAGCCACGGGUUAGCUGAGAUCACCUGCGGCCAGGAACAGGGCCUUCCUGGAGGUGAGGACAAGCUCUGCUUCCUCCAGGAGCAGGUGCUGGAGCAGAGCGGCUCCCCCGUUCUACAAGUGUCCUCUGUGUGGCGGCCCAGGUCUGUGCGGGCCUGUCCAGCCCAGGAGAGGACAGAAGUCAUCUGUAGCCUGGGCCCCUGUGGCCCCCAGCGAGAGGCCCUGGUGGGACUGGUCUUUCUCAGCCUGUGCACCUGGGGCUGAAACAGGACUCAAAGAGGGAAAGUGGCCCAGGCAGGCCCUCCCCUCAGGCCUCCCCUCUCCCUGGCUGCUCUCCCAGGCUUCCCUGCUUUCCCUUCUGAGACCCCGACUACUGGACCCAGCCUUACUGCCAAGAUAAUUAUCCACAACAGCAGGAGCGCCCAGGCCCAUGAAGAUAAUCGCCUGCCCAGCACUGUGUCCACAUCCAGUUCAUCCCAGCUGAGACCCAAGUGCAGCUGAGGGGUGGGGGACACUCCUCAGCUCUCGAAUGAUGCCAACCCUCCAGGGCCUGGCUGGGAGCAGCUCAGUGCUUCCUGGCUCCGGGGCUGUGUUCCCUACGUCCCAUUCGGAGCUUCUCUCCUGAAGAAAACAGUGUCUGCCUGCACCCUUCUUAGAAAGCACCCUGACACGUGGCUACAAAGAGCAGAGAGCACAGUACCCUUCCCAGACACACACCAGCACCCCCACCCACUGCAUUUAAGCCACCACUGUCCCGCCGCAUUCAUCCCUCCUCUACCCCCUAAAUUCAUCUUUCAGUGGAACUCUGCGUUCAUCCCUCCACUCCCCGCUCCAUUCAUCCCUCCACUCCCUGCUCCAUUCACCCCUCCACUCCCCCCUCCAUUCACCCUUCCACUCCCCCCUCCAUUCAUCCUUCCACUACCCCCUAAAUUCAUCCUUCCACAGAACCCUGCGUUCAUCCCUCCACUCCCCGCUCCAUUCACCUCCACUCUCCCUCCAUUCACCCCUCCAAACCCCCCUCCAUUCACCCCUCCACUCUCCCCUCCCUUCACCCUCCACUCCCUGCUCCUUUCACCCCUCCACUCCCCCCCAUUCACCCUUCCACUCCCCCCUCCAUUCAUCCUUCCACUACCCCCUAAAUUCAUCCUUCCACAGAACCCUGCGUUCAUCCCUCCACUCCCCGCUCCAUUCACCUCCACUCUCCCUCCAUUCACCCCUCCAAACCCCCCUCCAUUCAUCCCUCCACUCCCCCCUCCAUUCACCCCUCCACUCCCCCCUAC
Molecule: long non-coding RNA, 7692 nt
Filed under: Homo sapiens (human)
Lineage: Eukaryota; Metazoa; Chordata; Mammalia; Primates; Hominidae
Description: non-protein coding lnc-AKT1-1:16
Source: RNAcentral